UCCUUUCCUUCCCCUCUCUCUUUUCCCUCACAUGCAGCUUCUUUUUAAUAUUAAUCUGCAAACAUAGGAGGAAAAGGUGGUAGCGAGAGGGAGUUUGCUCACAUCAUCGUCACCAAAAGGGCUCUGAAACAUGGGUUUUACCUUUUUUUUCAUCUUCUUCAGAAGACUGCGGUGGUGUUGUAGCCAGGAUGGAGCUGCUCAGUUAUAGAGACUUUGAUCUGUUAAGAUUUCAUUCAAUAUUUCUAUUGUCAAACACCAUAUGGAUUAGCAGAUACCAUCAUAAUAAAAGUAGGAUAGUAAAAUUUUAAAUGUAAAUGACAUAAAAACUGGACUGAUAAAUAAUAAAACUGUGAACUAUCAGAAUGAGUAUUUUAAAAUGUAGUGGACAGUAUAUGAUUAAAAGAAAAAGACUGCAUUCAGUACCAGUAAAUCAACACAUGUGUUCUUCUGCUGACUCUUCCUGUCUUCCUCUAUCAAUUUUCCCCUUCCUCCUCCCUUCCUCUGUUUAAGCAACAGUGGCUUAAAAUGGUAAGACUUCAUGUUUUUUCCUGCCUAUGUUUGUUUAUUUUUUUUAAGUCUGUAGGUGUGACUUCCCUGGAGGUCCAGUGGUUAAAACCCUACAUUUCCACUGCAUGGUGUACAGGUUCAAUUCCUGGUCUGUGAACUAAGAUUCUGCAUGUCACAGACUGUGGUCAAAUGAUUCCACAGAGCUUCUAUCUGCUAGAUAGGAUGCUGCUCAAUUUAUGAAUCAUUUAAUAAAGCCAAGAAGGUCUUUAUAUCUUACUUAGUCGACUUUUGUUGCUGUUAAAAGUUUAAAGGUGCCGAUGGGAUCCAAAGGCCACUGACUUUGGACAGUUUUGGCAAGGCAACAACUAGAAACACAGGUAUUGGUACCUACAACAUCUUUUUGUUCUCUUUUUCAUGAUUUCCAAGAGCCUGGGUUAAGUUCCUCUCAAAUCCAAGUUCUGCUCUCUCUGCACUGAGCUCCCAAUCUAAAUGACCUUCCAGUCCAGGGUUAAUUGGACUGCUGGGAGGCUCUAACCAAGCCCUAGUUCUCAGCCCUGGGUUAGUCCAUGCUCCCAGGGCAGAGCCUCAUGGGUCACCUUGAGCUGGCAGAUGGUUCCGUCUGGAACCUGAGCCUUCAGGCCUUGCCUAGCCUGCAUGUGCGGGGAUCUGCUGGUUGGUUCGGUUAUAGUCCCACUUUGGAGAUGUCUGGUGGUGUGCACCUACCUUUUCUUGGUCAGUCUGCAGUAACACCUCGUAUGACUGUGGACAUCACGAGUAAUCAAUUUCCUUAGUUACUGAUAUUUUCUGCUAAUGUGCACAUGAGAUAACAGUUCUAUCAUAACAGGCCUCUGGGAAGCCAAAACUGUACAAUGGACAGGCAUGGACUGAGUUCAUAAAAAAUGUUCAAGUACUCACCUGUGAGAUUCCCGAGCUAGGGGUGAAAUUCAUGGAAAGGACACUCCUGGCUACUCUUGACCACUGACAGCACUGCCAAGUCACAAGGCAUUAAACCUUAGAGGCACAUUGGACAACUGGUGAAGGUUCCACUUGACAUCUGAUUCUGCACAAAGUCUGAAGACCGCAAAAUCAAAUGACAAGGAAGAUAAAUAGCCUACCUGGAGACAGACUACAUCUCCCUAAGAAUCUGGGUCAGAACUAUUUCUUUUCAUUCCUCCUCCCUUUUCUGACUAUUCUUUUCCUAAUUCUUACACCAGAAACAUGUCAUGUUUAUUCUGUCUUUUACCUUAUUCUGACCUAGAAAGAUAAUUUCAUUGUUUACAUACCUCAUGGGCAUGCCUUAAGGCCAUUGGCAAGGUAGGACAUCCAGUCUCCAGAUGACGACUGGAUUAACCGCACUGCUGACCAUCGUAGUUUUGCCUGCUCUGAAGUUCUCCUUGAUUUCCAAAGCCUCAGUUUCUUUGGAAUCCACAGCUUCCUCUCUUCUCAGACUCCCUACCUCUGAGCACUCAUUUGCCUGCCUCUCCUUAGCACCCCAAACCCAGGGCACCUUGUGUCAAGGCUUUCUACAAACCUCAUGUUGGGUCUGUAGAACUUCAAAUUUUACUGGCCUCCAUGGCUGUCAUCUUCAUUUUUUUUAAAGCUUUAAAUGCAUGUUCACAGCUGACCAAAACAAAUGAUCACCCCAAGACCAGAGCUUCAGAAAAGGAAAAGGUAAGCGAAUGACCAACUUAAAGAAUGUGAACCUGACCCCGUGACCUGGCUGACCACAAACUGAGAACUCCUGGGGGUAGGGCUGACGCCUUAAAUUCUGAUCACAUCUCUUAGUUAAUCUGAGAGUCUGGUCAACAGUGGGUGGCAGGUUGGGAGUUGAGGGGGGAGGAUUGUUAAAAAACAACAGAACAGAACCAAAAUGAAGUUACUUACCCUCAGCCCUAUGUUGCCACACUGAGACAAUCACAGUUUGGGCUUCUCAUAAAUGAAUCUUAAACCAGUCCACAGGAAUCUCCUGAUCAGAGCUAGCAGGUAAUCUGCUAGAUAACCCCCCUGCCAUUCCCUAAAGGACAGUAACCCUGCAAUAACCAACCUGUGUUUUGUCUAGAGGAACUGCCUUCUUCCUCUGCUUGUAAACGGUCUUCACUUUGUACAGCUCCUCAAAGCUCCUUUUUAUUUGUUAGAGUCGAUGGUGUGAUGAUGAAUCAUCAAAUAAAGCCAGCAAGAUUUAAAAAGUUACUGCAAUGAAUUUUAUCAUUAACACUAAGAAUCCAUGAUGGGAGAAGUACUACUCAGUAAUAUGGGGUCGUGUUAGAAACAAAGAAUUUAAGUAAAACGUUUUUUUUUUUUUUAAUAGGCAUAUGGUUGCAGAAAAUAAUCUAGUCCCUUCUAAAUCAUUGUGAGUUGGAGAAAUAUCCAAAGGAUACUUCAGAAAGAACUUCUUAUGAUGGGUAAAAGUAAUAAAGAACAAUUUCACCUGGGAUUUUCUACUUUCAAAAGGAGAGACUGGCUUAUUUUUAAAGUUUCUAUCAAUCAGGCCACUUUUAAAUUAGACCUUACAGAUAAAGGAUUAUUUUAACAGUUCACUCAUUUUCUGAAUAAAUAACAUAUUAUCUAAAACAUACACACUAGUACUAUGGAAACUUACCAUUCUCAGGAAAGUUAGGAGUUUUAGGGACAUUGGUUCCUUAGAAACAGACUGUUCAACUUCCAUAAUUAAAAAGAAAUCCAACUCUGAGCUCUAUUUAUUAUAGAAAAAUUGAUUUAUAAUUAUAAGUGAAACUUGUAUUUCAUUAAACAGUUUUUCCAAAGAAUUGACUACUGUUCUAAGGGCCUUGUUUACUUAAACAAUUAAAUUAGCAUUUAAUGAGAAAGAAAAGUUGUAGCCAAUUAAAGACCAAAGUAAUAUAAACACUACAUAGCAAUUAAUUGAUAACUCGCUUACCAUGGGCUAUCUAACAAUUAACCAAGGAAACAUUUCUAGGA
Odocoileus virginianus texanus is the source of this 3444-nucleotide non-coding RNA. NCBI's taxonomy places the organism in Eukaryota, Metazoa, Chordata, Mammalia, Artiodactyla, Cervidae. The record is from RefSeq and is a predicted model, not a curated record.